GCUUGCUUUGGCAGUGCAUAUACUAAAAUUUGAAUGAUACAGAAAAGAUUAGCAAGGCCCCUGGCACAAGGAUGACAUGCAAAUUCAAAAAGCAUUCCAUAAAAAU
Small nuclear RNA from Suricata suricatta (meerkat), 106 nucleotides. The record is from Ensembl. NCBI's taxonomy places the organism in Eukaryota, Metazoa, Chordata, Mammalia, Carnivora, Herpestidae.